CUUAGCUAACUAAAAUAGAAAGACAAACCAACAAUCACACACAGAGAGACAUACCCAGAUAGCAGAGGACUGUGGGGCGGAUCCGCCUUCAAGCCGGCACAUCCGCCAUAUGCUCUCCCCCGUUUUGUCCACGUGCACCGGAUCCGGCCCGCCUCCAGACAGCGCUCUGUCAAACUGCAGACUCACUGCGGACACCGGGCGGAUUCGCACAUCGAACGCACAUGUUUUAAAAAUUCUUAACCAUCGCUGACCAUAAUUCUGACAGACAGCAAAGCGCUUGCAGUGGGAAUCGGCAGCUCUCUCGGAGGACACGGACACACAUACAGCUCAUUCACAAGUGGCGCCAGUCUGAUAUGGGGACUGCCUGAUUCUCAGCCUUUCCUGCUGCCGGUGUAAAAUUUUCUUCCUGGAAGCCAGAGGGGCCACAACAGAGAACGUGCCACGUGGGACAUCCUUGCCCACAUGUUCCAUGUUGAUGUCGGGAAGAGGAUAAAUUGUAAAGGGAUCACUGAGAAAAAAGUCUAUGCCAGAUGGCACUGGAGAUGUUGCUCCUGUGUAAGUAAUUGUAAUUUAUAUAAAACAAUCUGAAGUCACACAACAUUCUUAGGCAGUGUUCAAACUGGCAUUAGCACUACUCUAAAAAACACAACCAUGCUUAUCAACGCAGAGGAUUGGGAGUCAACACAGGGGGUUUCAGAAAACAUUGCAGGGUCUGUUGGCUAAAAAAUCUUUAAUUAAAAAGUUUUAAUGCCAUGCAACAACACAUUAUCUGGCAUAGCACUGAGUUGGCGAAGAUACAGUAUGUGCAAAUGUCACGUGUGGAUACGCGAUAAAAGAUAAAUUAAAAGGGUAUUACUAACUAAAAAAUAUGUUGUGAGGGUUCGGCGACAACGCCACAAUGAGCCCUAGGACUCACAGACCCACAGGUUCUUUAAAAAUCGGGGUUGGAGCAGAGCAGAAACAAACCACAGAAGCUAAAAUAAAUGUUAACAAUUUAUUACAAUUAAAAAAUGUUUAUAAGUUUAGCCUAACUAAAACCCAUGUGAUGCCACAGAUAAAACAAAAGCUAAAUAAGAGAGAAAUGUUCCGUGAUUUGACAGCUCCCGGCACGGCAAACAGUCCGCAGUCCUCGCCGCUCGUCGGUUUCCUACGACAGAGGAAGCACUGGCGAGUAGUGUGCUCACAUCAGUCAACCCGCACCCUAUGCCUAACGACCCCGACUCUGCAGCCCUCCCCUGCCUGGUCCUAUGGCCGCCUAGCUUAAGAUACAUAAACUGUUACUGACGGUUUCCCCGGGCUACAGUCGUACUGUUCGCCCAGGCCUGAGUGGAAAUGCGUUGGCGGACACUGGCUGCUGCGGUCGUCUACUCGUGUUGCUGCUGGCUCUGCCCGAAUCAGCCCAGUGUCUCCCUGCAGGCCUCUAUAGCGACUACUCUCACUGUCGCCCUCUGCUGCGUCGUCUCGGCUGCCGCACCGGUUCCGUCCAAUCAAUUACUUCCCCACAAGUCUCUCUCUAGCUGCCGUCCUCCUGCUUGAUGCCCCCCCUGCUCAGCGCCCAACGAGCUGGCCGACUUUCCCUGCUGCUCUCUUCACAGUUCUCUACGUCGAACCUCCAUCUCCUCCGCCUGCUUCCCCGCAGUCACGCUCCUUACCGGCCUACAUCCUUCGUCCGUAUCGUCGCGUUCCACGCUCCCUCACUCUUCCUACUGCCGUUGCUUCACUUAAAAAGGAGUCCUGUCCAAUCCGUUGACGGCUUCCACACCUGUUGCUCAUUUGGUCAUAAUGUCAUCAGUGGAGGUGUGCGGUUUAAGAUCAGUCCAGCCAGUAAAACUUAAGUUAGUAAAACACACAUGCAUUAAAACACACCACAUGCUAUAAAAACACAAAUAACACACUGAAAAAGGUAAAAAGGCACAGCACACAAAUUAAAACACACCAGAAGCAUAAAAAGUCACCUGCCAUUUUCUGGCCCUGUCACACAAAUACACAUUUCUGGUAGACUUAUGAUUGUCGUUGUCAUGGAAGAUAAAAUAAUUUUUGGCAUGGCAACUUUCCAGAGUUGUUAUAUAGUUUCUCAUAGUAUUAUAAACAGUUAUACAGUGUUUUGACAUCUAACAAGCCAUAAAACGCAUGGAUCUUUCACUCCAACCAGCCUUCCUGGGUGAUAUUUCAUGGUCAAAUCGGCACAUGAAGACAUGCCUCCACCAAGUUUUUGAACGCAGUGCUGUUUUCGGUCUGAACACUGUCUUAAUCUCACAAUCCAUAUCAAAAACCUUGCAUCAUCUUGUCACAAGAUUGCUGACGUAAUCUGCACUCUGCGCAUGCGUUGGCGUCUGUAGCCACCUGUCGGAUGCUCCGUCUUAAACCGAACUCUUAUCCAGUUUUAAUCCACUCUUUUUCGUUACAUUUUUUUAUAUCCUUUUUAUUUAACUUAAGUUUUUAACUUAAGUUUUACGUGGGUUAAGGAUUUUAGCCGUCUCUAACCUGCACCAUCGGGUAGCCCUUCUCUCAGGUAUGUUACUGCUACUCCAACACAACACUCGGCAGCUCACACACUCC
Micropterus dolomieu (smallmouth bass) is the source of this 2559-nucleotide long non-coding RNA. RefSeq lists it as uncharacterized. The transcript has 3 exons. Lineage: Eukaryota; Metazoa; Chordata; Actinopteri; Centrarchiformes; Centrarchidae. The record is from RefSeq and is a predicted model, not a curated record.